RNAcentral lists this long non-coding RNA (3289 nucleotides) under Homo sapiens (human). RNAcentral describes it as "PREDICTED lncRNA (TCONS_00112343)". Lineage: Eukaryota; Metazoa; Chordata; Mammalia; Primates; Hominidae. The record is from RNAcentral.
CAGACAGAUAGGGGCAGGAGCCCAAGCAGGUGUGUGUUAUAGUGAGCUCUUUUAACCUUGCCGUCCAUGUGAAGCUUAAGUAUUAACCAGUUCAGUGGACCCUCUGCCUUUUUGCAAGGAUGGAGGGCCAGAGUGACAGCUUUCUGUAUUCUGAGCUCUUGUCCAGCAUCCCAGAAAAAUUGGGUCACAGACGGAUUUGAAGGAUGUGGCCAGUUUCACAAAGAGGCUGCAGGAAGCUGCUUCCAGCAGUCUGAGUCCUGAGGAGGAGACGAUAACAGUGGGAGAAGCACCUGGUAACAGCGGCACUUCAUCCAGGAAGAAAACAGGAUCUAAAAUAUAAACAACAUCCUUACAACACAAAAUAUGAGCGUCCAUCAUGGACCAACCAAUAACUUCAAUAAAAGUGCUGUAUCCCCUGGCAGAUGAUGAGUAUCUUCAAGAUGUUUGUGUAGAUCAGGAAUCUGGGAAUGGCUUGACUGGAUCCUCCAGCCCAGGGAUUCAUACAAGGCUGCAAUCAAGGUAUCAGCCAAGGCUGCGGUCAUCUCAAGGCGUAACUGGGGCAAGAUCUGCUUUCAAGCUUACUCACAAUGCUGUUUGCAGAAUUCAGUUCCUGCUGGGCUAUUGGACUAAGAGCUACAGUUUCUUAGUACUUAGCCUCUCCAGAGGGCAGCUCACAAUAGAGUAGCUGACUUUAUCAAAGUGAGAAAGUGAGAAAGAGCAAGAGAGUGCCAGCAGGAUAGAAGUCACAGCCUUUUAUAACCUACUUUCAGAAGUAAUAGCCCAUCACUUUUGUUACUUAGAAGGAAGUCAUUAGGUCUAGGCCACCCAUGGUGAGGGGUUACACAAGAACAUACCUACCAGAAGGCAAGGAUCACUGGGGGCUAUUUUAGAAGUAGUCUACUCCAAAGUGGUUCACCAGAAACGAGUUGCUCUUUCUCAACAAAGAAUUAGAGGUAAAGUUGUUGAGAGAGAGUUUAACAUGACAUAAAAGAAGAAUUGGUUAUGAAUCAUGGCAUUCGGAUCUAUAAGGAAGUAGAAUGAUUUAUCAUCCUCAGAUUGACCUUUUUGAUUCACUUUCUUCAAUGGGCUUUCUGGAAAGAAGUUACCUGGCACCUUACCUGACUCUCUCUCAAUUGAAGUGUUGGUUAAGGUAGAAUGGCCUCACCAAUCUUUCAGUGUCUCAUCCUUAUUUGAACAUUCGAUCGUACAGUAGAUUUGCAGUCUUAUAGUGUGUCAAUGACAGCACCACUUUUUCCAAAUCUUAUCCAGUGAUUCAGUAAUAAAGGCAUUUCUUGUGAUUCUGGAGCCUCAGCUAAGCUUUGAAACACACGUUCUGUGGCAGGGCAAGUUUUUUCAUGGUCUUCAGUGGCCAAAGAACAACAGUGAUUGUGAUAAGUUCCUAGAUGGAAUGAUAAUCUGUUGCAGGUAUUCAAUAAAGAAGAAUCCAAACAUAUUAGUUUUUAAGUUUUUGUUUAAAUUUAAUUAAUGAAUUAAUAAAUUAAUUAGUUUUCCAGAUGGCAUCUCACUCUAUUGCCCAGUCUGGAGUGCAGUGGUGCAGUUAUAGCUCACUGUAGCCUCAAACUCCUGGGCUCAAGCAUUUCUCCCACCUCAGCCUCCCAAGAAGCUGGGAGUACAGGGUUCACCACCCUGCCUGGCUAAUUUUUUAAAAUUUCUUUUUAGAGAUGGGGUCUCACUUUGUUGGCCAUGCUGGUAUUGAACUCCUGGCUUCAAGCAGUUCUCCCUCCUCAGACUCCCAAAGUACUAGGAUCACAGAUGUGAGCCACCACACCCAGCACCUAGCCUCUUAGUGGGGAGAGGGAACACCUUUUUUUUUCAAUCCUCUGGAAACCAGAAACUUGUUACUGUGGAUUUUAAAGGAAUUUCAAAGGUCUUCUACAUUUUUGUGGGAGACAAACUCAACCAAAACGCUUUCUCCUCAUGAGGGUACUAAGACAACUCAAGGGUAAAAUAAUAGUUUUUUUUUGUCCUGGCGCAGUGGCUCACGCCUGUAAUCCCAGCACUUUGGGAGGCCGAGGUGGGCGGAUCACGAGGUCAGGAAGUCGAGACCAUCCUGGCUAACACGGUGAAACCCUCUCUCUACUAAAAAAAAAAGUACAAAAAAUUAGCCGGGCGCGGUGGUGGGCGCCUGUAGUCCCAACUACUCGGGAGGCUGAGGCAGGGGAAUGGCGUUAACCCGGGAGGCGGAGCUUGCAAUGAGCCGAGAUUGUGCCACUGCACUCCAGCCUGGGCGACAGAGCGAGACUCCAUCUCAGAAAGAAACAAACAAACAAACAAAAAUAAUAGUUUUUUUUUAAUAGUGCUGGACAAGUGUUACCUACAUGUAAAAGAAUAUAGUUAGAUCCCUAUCUUAUAUACAAAAAUUAACCAAAAAUAGAUAAAAAUCUAAAUGUAAGAGCUAAAACUAUACAACUCUUAGUAGAAAACAGAAGAGUACAUCUUUGUGAUAGUGGAUUAGGCUGUAGUUUAUUAGACAUAACCAAAAACAACAAAAGGAAGAAUAGAUAAAUUUGACUUCAUCAAAAUUAAAAACUUCUGUGUUACAAAGGAUACCAUCAGUGAAAAGGCAACCCCACAGAUGGGGAGAAGAGAUUUGCAAGUCAUGUAUAUGAUAAGGGAUUUGUAUCCAAAGCAUAUAAAGAACGCUUACAACUCAGGAAAAAAAUAAAAAUGAAAAGGCACAGAACCCAAUUUGAAUUCAGGCAAAGGAUUAGAACAGACAUUUCUCUAAAGAUGACAUACAAAUGGUCAAUACACACAUACAAGGAUUCUCAACAUCUGUUAGUCAUCAGAGAAAUGAAAAUGAGAACCACAAUGAGUUAACACUUCACACCUGCUAGGAUGGGAAUAAUAAAAAUGACAGAUAAUAAGAAGCGUCAGUGAGUUAAUGGAGAAAUUGGAGGCUCAGACUUUGAUGGUGGGAAUGUAAAAUGGCACAGCUGCUUUGACAAACAGUUUGGGAUUUUGUCAAAAAGUUAAACAUGGGCUGGGCGCCAUGGCUCACACCUGUGAUCCCAGCACUUUAGGAGGGAAAGGCAGGCAGAUCACUUGAGGUUAGCAGCCUGACCAGCAUGGUAAAACCCCAUCUCUACUAAAAAUACAAAAAAUUAGCUGGGCAUGGUUGUGCAUGCCUGUAAUCCCAGCUACUCGGGAGGCUGAGGCAUGAGAAUUGUUUGACUCCAGGAGGCAGAGGUUGAAGUGAGCCAUGAUCGCGCCACUGCACUCCAGCCUGGGUGAUGGAGUAAGACUCCGUCUCAAAAAAAAAAAAAAA